RNAcentral lists this long non-coding RNA (447 nucleotides) under Ananas comosus (pineapple). Its description in RNAcentral is "long non-coding RNA (ACOM_LNC004509)". Lineage: Eukaryota; Viridiplantae; Streptophyta; Magnoliopsida; Poales; Bromeliaceae. The record is from RNAcentral.
GGUUCGACGCAUCUAAAUAAUCAUUUUACAAGAGCACAAAGCUGGUUAUUUUAUUAUUUAUCGUAUAAUCUUUUGUUUCAUUGCACGGCGAACAAAAAAAUUAUAAAAAAAAUAAUAAACGUUAUUAAAGAAUGGGCACUUUAAUUGCGUCCAACAUAUUCUUUUACCAUCAAAACAAACUUUCUCUAACACCACAAUCCCCAAGUGAGAAAAAAGCUGCUAAGCAAUAAAUAUUCCUAUCUUUUGAUUAUUAUAGCUCUAUUUUCAGUAAAUGACUUUACUAAUCUCAUAUUCUGAGACCGACCGUUCAUAGAGCAAGUGGCAAAAGGCUUGAUGGUUGGUAUCCGAGAUCCCAAGUUCGAAUCCUAAUUGAUUCACAUUUCCAUCUAAGUUUAUUUCUAAAAUGUCAAAGUAAUUAUGCUUAAACACUGUAUGGCUAAAAUUCUU